UAGUAACUGCGAGUGAAGCGGGAAAAGCUCAAAUUUAAAAUCUGGCAGUCUUUUGGCUGUCCGAGUUGUAAUUUAGAGAAGCGUCUUCCGCGCCGGACCGUGCACAAGUCUCCUGGAAUGGAGCGUCAUAGAGGGUGAGAAUCCCGUCUUUGGCAUGGACACCCGGGGCUUCUGCGAUGCGCUCUCGAAGAGUCGAGUUGUUUGGGAAUGCAGCUCAAAAUGGGUGGUGAACUCCAUCUAAAGCUAAAUAUUGGCGAGAGACCGAUAGCGAACAAGUACCGUGAGGGAAAGAUGAAAAGCACUUUGGAAAGAGAGUGAAACAGUACGUGAAAUUGUUGAAAGGGAAACGCUUGAAGUCAGUCGCGUCGAUCGAGACUCAGCCUUGCCUUGGCUUGGCAUACUUCUCGGCUGACGGGCCAGCAUCAAUUUUGUCUCUCGGAUAAUGACAAGGGAAAGGUGGCACCUUCACCGGUGUGUUAUAGUCUCCUGUCGCAUGCGAGGGGUGGGAUUGAGGAACUCAGCACGCACCUCUUGGUGUCGGGGCUUCUGCCCACGCUACGUGCUUAGGAUGUUGGCGUAAUGGCUUUAAACGACCCGUCUUGAAACACGGACCAAGGAGUCUAACAUGCCCGCGAGUGUUCGGGUGGAAAACCCGUGCGCGUAAUGAAAGUGAAAGUUGGGACCUCUAUCGUGGAGGGCACCGACGCCCGGACCAGACCUUCUGUGACGGAUCUGCGGUAGAGCGUGCAUGUUGGGACCCGAAAGAUGGUGAACUAUGCCUGAAUAGGGUGAAGCCAGAGGAAACUCUGGUGGAGGCUCGUAGCGAUUCUGAC
Molecule: ribosomal RNA, 833 nt
Filed under: Lactifluus austropiperatus
Lineage: Eukaryota; Fungi; Basidiomycota; Agaricomycetes; Russulales; Russulaceae
Description: partial large subunit ribosomal RNA
Rfam family: Eukaryotic large subunit ribosomal RNA
Source: RNAcentral